CUAGACAUGGGCAUCUCUGCCACCACCCAGAAGCAGCUGCUUUCUUCCCCUCCCAUCUCCAUCAGAAGUACGUGGCAUGCCUGGAUGUCCCUGCCCUGGCUGUGGCAUGGCGGGCCCAAGGCUCCUCUUCCUCACUGCCCUUGCCCUGGAACUCUUGGGAAGGGCUGGGGGUUCCCAGCCGGCCCUCCGGAGCCGGGGGACUGCGACGGCCUGUCGCCUGGACAACAAGGAAACUGGGGCCUGGCGCCUGAAGCAGCUGCUCAGCUUCGCCCUGGGGGGACUCUUGGGCAAUGUGUUUCUGCAUCUGCUGCCCGAAGCCUGGGCCUACACGUGCAGCACCAGCCCUGGUAAGUGAGGCCACAGGCCAGGGGCAAGACAGUGCCAGGAGUAGGGGCCUGGUGCCCACGCCCAGGGAUGGCCAGGAUGACCAGGAGAGGGAUUCUGGGUUUCUGGCAGGAGCUUGCCUGGGAGGGAGGGAGGGUCAUUGUCCUGGUCUCUGGGCCCUGGUCCCAGUGGGAGUUCUGGGCCCCAGCUGCCCAACCCACCCUUGUCACUGCCCUGGUGCCCUGGAUGAGAUCCCAUUCCAAAUGGCCCCCUCCUAUGGCCCUGGCUUGGCUUGGCCUGGCCUGGCCUGGCAUUGCCGCCCCCUGCAGGUGGUGAGGGGCAGAGCCUGCAGCAGCAGCAACAGCUGGGGCUGUGGGUCAUUGCUGGCAUCCUGACCUUCCUGGCGUUGGAGAAGAUGUUCCUGGACAGCAAGGAGGAGGGGACCAGCCAGGUCAGCGGCUACCUCAACCUGCUGGCCAACACCAUCGAUAACUUCACCCACGGGCUGGCUGUGGCUGCCAGCUUCCUUGUGAGCAAGAAGGUGAGGGGCUUGGGGCCAGUGGGGCUCUGGCGAUUCCGGUGGCAGCCAUGUGGAUUCCACCUGUGUCUGGAGUCUCUGCUUCUUGCCCCUCCAUUGCCAGCACCCUCAUCUAAGGCUCUCAUCCCCCAUCCUCCCUGCUGCUGUCCUGGCCACCACUGUUCUCUGAUCCUGAGCCCCUGGUCUGUUCCUGUUCCCAGUACUCCUUGUUGGGUGCCUCUGUCAAGCUGCUAGGCGUGGCCCCUGCCUGCUCCUAGAUGCUUCUUCCUCUACCUCCUCCCUCUGGCCUCUGGCCUCUGGCCCAGAGGCAGCCUACUCUGCAGCUGGCUGAGAUCUUUCCCACCUCACACUGUUCCCCCUGCCUGGAAUGUUCUCCCGCCCACGCUUCGAGCGGCUGACGACUCAUCCUUGGGGCCUCGACUUACAUGGACUCCUCCACCAGGCCUUUGCUGACCUCCUCAUCUAAAUUUGGUUCCUGGGCCUGCUCCCCUGGGCACUCUAUCCAUCCUUUCCUUCCCAGCGCCUAUCGGGCUCCUGACAACCAUGGCCAUCCUCCUGCAUGAGAUCCC
This 1431-nucleotide long non-coding RNA is filed under the name Pan troglodytes (chimpanzee). RNAcentral describes it as "long non-coding RNA NONPTRT002629". The record is from RNAcentral. Lineage: Eukaryota; Metazoa; Chordata; Mammalia; Primates; Hominidae.